Molecule: ribosomal RNA, 387 nt
Filed under: uncultured bacterium
Lineage: Bacteria
Description: bacterial SSU rRNA
Rfam family: Bacterial small subunit ribosomal RNA
Source: RNAcentral
GACGAACGCUGGCGGCGUGCUUAACACAUGCAAGUCGAACGGAAAGGCCCUUUCGGGGGUACUCGAGUGGCGAACGGGUGAGUAACACGUGGGUGAUCUGCCCUGCACUUUGGGAUAAGCUUGGAAAACUGGGUCUAAUACCGAAUACACCCUGCUGGUCGCAUGGCCUGGUGGGGGAAAGCUUUUGCGGUGUGGGAUGGGCCCGCGGCCUAUCAGCUUGUUGGUGGGGUGAUGGCCACCAAGGCGACGACGGGUAGCCGGCCUGAGAGGGUGUCCGGCCACACUGGGACUGAGAUACGGCCCAGACUCCUACGGGAGGCAGCAGUGGGGAAUAUUGCACAAUGGGCGCAAGCCUGAUGCAGCGACGCCGCGUGGGGAUGACGGCCU